UAUACCAAUUCCACCAAUUAACCAAAACCCUUAACCAAUACUGAAUGACUCCAUAAACAUAUGGAAUACUAUAUGCUAGAACUAGUAAUAAGAAGAAGACCUUCUCCAAAAUAUAAGUGUGAGCCGAAAUGAACAAUUCACCGGCAUUUAACGCAACUGAACUAAUAGUAGUAACAAAAACAAGAAAACCCUACUAUCUUGCUGCGUCAACCUUACACUAGAAUAUUCCAGGAAAGAUUAAAAGAAAAGGAAGGAACUCGGCAAACCUAAUAACCCCGCCUGUUUACCAAAAACAUCGCCUCUUGCAAAAUAUAAGAGGUCCAGCCUGCCCAGUGACAAAGUUAAACGGCCGCGGUACCCUAACCGUGCGAAGGUAGCGCAAUCACUUGUUCUUUAAAUGAGGACUAGUAUGAAUGGCAUCACGAGGGUUACACUGUCUCCCUUUUCCAAUCAAUGAAACUGACCUCCCCGUGAAGAGGCGGGGAUAAAAUUAUAAGACGAGAAGACCCCAUGGAGCUUUAAACUCAGUAUCAACUAUCUAACUAUACACCAUCAAAAUUUGAUAGUUCUGACCACUAGUUUUCGGUUGGGGUGACCGCGGAGCAAAACAAAACCUCCACGAUGAACGGACCAAUGUUCCUAAUCAUAGAGCUACAGCUCAAAGAAUCAAAAAAUUGACAUAAAUUGAUCCAAUUAAUUUUGAUCAACGAACCAAGUUACCCUGGGGAUAACAGCGCAAUCCACUUCAAGAGCUCCUAUCGA
This 762-nucleotide ribosomal RNA is filed under the name Kaloula baleata (brown bullfrog). RNAcentral's name for it is "partial large subunit ribosomal RNA". It matches the Rfam family "Bacterial large subunit ribosomal RNA", at positions 1244 to 2508 of the family's 2925-position model. Lineage: Eukaryota; Metazoa; Chordata; Amphibia; Anura; Microhylidae. The record is from RNAcentral.